CUUCCUUUGCAGGUUGGGAUCAGUAGCAAUGUUCUUUUCUGCUGGAGUAUUGCACUUGUCCCGGCCUGUUAAGGGCAA
This 78-nucleotide microRNA precursor is filed under the name Astyanax mexicanus (Mexican tetra). RNAcentral's name for it is "mir-92 microRNA precursor family". It matches the Rfam family "mir-92 microRNA precursor family". From Rfam's summary of the family: This family represents the microRNA precursor mir-92. Human miR-92 has two predicted hairpin precursor sequences: mir-92-1 on chromosome 13 and mir-92-2 on chromosome X. miR-92 has also been cloned from mouse embryonic stem cells. The mature sequence is excised from the 3' arm of the hairpin. Lineage: Eukaryota; Metazoa; Chordata; Actinopteri; Characiformes; Acestrorhamphidae. The record is from Rfam by way of RNAcentral.